Molecule: ribosomal RNA, 2899 nt
Filed under: Mycoplasma todarodis
Lineage: Bacteria; Bacillati; Mycoplasmatota; Mollicutes; Mycoplasmatales; Mycoplasmataceae
Description: Mycoplasma sp. 5H 23S ribosomal RNA
Rfam family: Bacterial large subunit ribosomal RNA
Source: RNAcentral
ACUUAUUAAAUAAGUAAGAGUGAGUGGUGAAUGCCUUGGGUCUGGAAGUCGAAGAAGGACGUGAUUACCUGCGAUAAGCAUUGUGGAGCUGGAUAUACGCUAUGAAACAAUGAUUUCCGAAUGGGGAAACCCAGCUAGAUUAAUCUCUAGUUACUACCAACUGAAUACAUAGGUUGGUCAGAGAUACACGCUGUGAACUGAAACAUCUUAGUAGCAGCAGGAAAAGAAAAUAAAUAAUGAUUCCGUAAGUAGCGGCGAGCGAACGCGGAGGAGGCCAAACCGACUUUUAGUCGGGGUUGUAGGACAGUUUUUAUGAGUUACAAAACUUAUGCAUAGAAGAAUUACCUGGAAAGGUAAGCCAUAGAGGGUGAUAGCCCCGUAAUCGAAAUGCAUGAGACUCUUAACUGUAUCCUGAGUAGGGCGGGGCACGUGAAACCCUGUCUGAAUCCGCCGGGACCACCCGGUAAGCCUAAAUACUAACCAGACACCGAUAGUGAACAAGUACCGUGAGGGAAAGGUGAAAAGAACCCCGAGAGGGGAGUGAAAUAGAUUCUGAAACCGCUUACUUACAAGUAGUCAGAGCCCGUUAAUGGGUGAUGGCGUACAUUUUGCAGUAUGGUCCGGCGAGUUAUGUUUGCGUGCAAGGUUAAGUGGAAAAAAGCGGAGCCGUAGAGAAAUCGAGUCUUAAUAGGGCGACUAGUACGUAGACAUAGACCCGAAACCAGGUGAUCUAUCCAUGAGCAGGGUGAACGUUAGGUAAAACUAACCGGAGGCCCGAACCGGGGUACGCUAAAAAGUGCUCGGAUGACUUGUGGAUAGCGGUGAAAUUCCAAUCGAACCUGGAUAUAGCUGGUUCUCUUCGAAAUAGCUUUACGGCUAGCGUUGUGUGUUAAGUAGUGGAGGUAGAGCACUGAAUGUGGAAUGGCCGCGCCUAGCGGUACUGACUACAAUUAAACUCCGAAUGCCAUUAUGUAUUACACAGCAGUCAGAACAUGGGUGAUAACGUCCAUGCUCGCGAGGGAAACAACCCAGAUCGUCAGCUAAGGUCCCUAAAUUGUGUUAAGUGAGAAAGGUUGUGGGGUUUCACAAACAGCUAGUAUGUUGGCUUAGAAGCAGCCAUCAUUUAAAGAGUGCGUAACAGCUCACUAGUCGAGAGACCCUGCGCCAAUAAUGUAACGGGACUAAACACAAUACCGAAGCUACGGACUUCCAUUUAUGGGAGUGGUAGGAGAGCGUUCUUGUCAGCACUGAAGCCAGACCGUGAGGACUGGUGGAGCGGCAAGAAGUGAGAAUGCCGGAAUGAGUAACGAUUGAAGGUGAGAAUCCUUCACGCCUAUUGGGGAAGGUUUCCUGGGCAAGGUUCGUCCACCCAGGGUUAGUCGGGACCUAAGGCGAGGCCGAAAGGCGUAGUCGAUGGACAACAGGUUGAUAUUCCUGUACUUCCGCUAGAGUGAUGGAGUGACGGAGAAGGAUAAUACUACCACUUAAUGGAUUGUGGGGUAAAUAGUAAGAUGGUCAAGUAGGCAAAUCCGCUUGGCUUAACAUUGAGCUAUGACGCAUAGGGAAAGCUUCGGCGAUUACCGAAUUGUAUGAUUUCAUGCUUCCAAGAAAAGCUUCUAACAUUAAUCUAGUUGGAACCCGUACCGAGAACGGACACACGUCCCCAAGAUGAGUAUUCUAAGGCGAGCGAGAUAACCAUUGUUAAGGAACUCUGCAAAAUGACCCCGUACGUUCGCAAGAAGGGGUGCUCAACUCUGUUGAGCCGCAGUGAAAAGUGAGGGGCGACUGUUUAUCAAAAACACAGCUUUGUGCUAAAUCGCAAGAUGAAGUAUACGAGGUGACGCCUGCCCAGUGUCCGAAGGUUAAGUUGAAGUGUUAGCAUUAGCGAAGCUCUGAUAUGAAGCCCGGAUGAACGGCGGCCGUAACUAUAACGGUCCUAAGGUAGCGAAAUUCCUUGUCGGCUAAUUACCGACCUGCACGAAAGGCGUAACGAUCUCUCAGCUGUCUCAACAAUGGACUCGGUGAAAUUAUGGUACCAGUGAAAACGCUGGUUACCCGCAUCAAGACGAAAAGACCCCGUGGAGCUUUACUACAGGUUCGUAUUGUUAUUUGGCUAAACAUGUGUAGGAUAGGUGGGAGACUUUGAAGCUAUAACGCUAGUUAUAGUGGAGUCAUCCUUGAAAUACCACCCUUGUUUAGUUGACUAACUAACUUGCCACCAUUAUCUGGUGGGAGGACAGUGCGUGCUGGGUAGUUUGACUGGGGCGGUCGCCUCCUAAAAUGUAGCGGAGGCGCUCAAAGGUACCCUCAGUACGGUCAGAAACCGUACGCAGAGCGCAAAGGUAAAAGGGUGCUUGACUGUGAGACCUACAAGUCGAGCAGGUGCGAAAGCAGGACUUAGUGAUCCGGCGGUUCCUUGUGGAAGGGCCGUCGCUCAACGGAUAAAAGCUACCCCGGGGAUAACAGGCUUAUCUUCCCCAAGAGAUCACAUCGACGGGAAGGUUUGGCACCUCGAUGUCGGCUCAUCGCAUCCUGGAGCUGGAGUCGGUUCCAAGGGUUGGGCUGUUCGCCCAUUAAAGCGGUACGCGAGCUGGGUUCAGAACGUCGUGAGACAGUUCGGUCCCUAUCUGAUGUGGGCGUUGGAUUAUUGAUGAGAGCUGCUCUUAGUACGAGAGGACCGGAGUGGACAUACCACUGGUGUUCCAGUUGUCCCGCCAGGGGCAUAGCUGGGUAGCCAAGUAUGGAAAGGAUAACCGCUGAAAGCAUCUAAGCGGGAAGCCUCCUCAGAGAUGAAUAAUCCCUUGAAAUUCCUUGUAGACGACGAGGUUGAUAGGCUGGAAGUGUACGUGUAGCGAUACAUUUAGCUGACCAGUACUAAUAAAUUGAACGGUUUAAUAAG